RNAcentral lists this ribosomal RNA (492 nucleotides) under uncultured bacterium. Its description in RNAcentral is "partial 16S ribosomal RNA". It matches the Rfam family "Bacterial small subunit ribosomal RNA", at positions 29 to 507 of the family's 1533-position model. The record is from RNAcentral.
AGUGAACGCUGGCGGUAGGCCUAACACAUGCAAGUCGAACGGCAGCACAGUAAGAGCUUGCUCUUACGGGUGGCGAGUGGCGGACGGGUGAGGAAUACAUCGGAAUCUACUUUUUCGUGGGGGAUAACGUAGGGAAACUUACGCUAAUACCGAAUACGACCUACGGGUGAAAGCAGGGGAUCUUCGUACCUUGCGCGAUUGAAUGAGCCGAUGUCGGAUUAGUUAGCUGGCGGGGUAAAGGCCCACCAAGGCGACGGACCUUAGCUGGUGUGAGAGGAUGAUCAGCCACACUGGAACGGGACCACGGUCCAGACCCCUACGGGAGGCAGAGGUGGGGAAUAUUGGACAAUGGGCGCAAGCCUGAUCCAGCAAUACCGCGUGGGUGAAGAAGGCCUUCGGGUUGUAAAGCCCUUUUGUUGGGAAAGAAAAGCAGCAGGUUAAUACCCCGCUGUUCUGACGGUACCCAAAGAAUAAGCAACGGCUAACUUCGUG